CACUUAAAUAUGAUCACAAAUCAUUUAGUUUCCCAUGACUUCACUGUGUAAGGUGGAGAGCCUUCGUCAGCGCUUAGUUAUUCAAUCCGUUCCACUUGUUGAUAUAGAGAACGCCCACAUUACUGAAAAUCCAGUCCGCGUUUUCACUGCUGCCAGCAGCAGUACCUACAUGCUCCCUCACACAGUCACAGCGAGACGGUCACAUUACGAGCCAGGCAGAGAGCAGCAUCAUGGACAUAUGCAAGUUUUUCAAAAAAGUAAGUCUUUAUAGCUGCUGGUAGUAACAAUAAGCUCCAGCUAACAGCUAAUAGUCCCAUGUAAUUUAUAAACCAGGUGCUUCCCAUUUUGAUAAAUAAAAACCUGGCUAUCACACCAAGUUAAAUUGUUAACAUGAUGUUGAUUUCUGUCACUUGUUUUAGCUCUGAAAAAAAACGAGCUGAGCUCAUUCACGUAUGAUUAUCAUCAGUGGAAAAUAAUAAUGCACUAAUAAUACUCAAACCACCAUCCCCACUGACCUGUAGGAGUUAGGACAGAGGAGCACAGCAAGUGAGAGGGGAGACACCUCUACUGAAGAG
Molecule: non-coding RNA, 575 nt
Organism: Xyrichtys novacula (pearly razorfish)
Lineage: Eukaryota; Metazoa; Chordata; Actinopteri; Labriformes; Labridae
Source: the annotation of a GenBank genome assembly